UCUAAUAACAAGUCUCGCUUUAUACCUUUCAACACUGCCAUCAGCCUUGUAUUUGAUUUUAUAAACCCAUUUGCAGUCAAUGGGUUUCUUACAAGGAGGAAGAGGAACAACAUCCCAAGUAUGGUUUGUGUCCAAAGCAUCAAACUCCUUUCUCAUGGCAUCCUGCCAUGCUGGAACAGAUGCAGCUUGAGAGUAAUAUAGAGGUUCAGAUUCCAAGGAAGAGGAAGAGGAUCCAGAAAAGUAGGAAGUUGACAAACAUAAUCCUUAAGAUAAGAGGGAGGAUUAUGCUGUCUUUGAGAUUUUCUGGGAGCAAGAACAGAUGGGGAGGAGGCCAAAGCAGGAGGAGAGAUAUCAGGAUUGAAAGAAGGAAUGAAAGCAGGAUUAGUAGAAUCUGGAGCAAUAUGAUGAAGUGCUUGAACAGAUGUAGGAGGAAGAGGAGAGGAGAUAGGAAUGGAAGGGUCUGGAUCAGUAGAAUCUUCUACAGGUGGAACAAAAGGAAAGGAUGAAGGAGAAGGAUGAACAGAAGAGGAUGCAGUUUUAAAAGGAAAACAGGUUUCAUGGAAUAUAACAUCCCUGGAAACAAAACCAGGUGGAACAAAAGGAAAGGAUGAAGGGGAAGGAUGAAUAGAAGAGGAUGCAGUCUUAAAAGGAAAACAAGUUUCAUGGAAUAUAUCCCUAGAAACAAAACAUUUCAUGGAAGCAAGAUCAUACAAUUUAUAACCCUUUUUGGCAAAAGGAUAACCUAGGAAAACACAAGAAAUGGCUUUUGGCCUUAACUUGUCCCUUUGAGGAAUUGGGACAGUAGCA
Molecule: long non-coding RNA, 807 nt
Filed under: Nicotiana benthamiana
Lineage: Eukaryota; Viridiplantae; Streptophyta; Magnoliopsida; Solanales; Solanaceae
Description: long non-coding RNA (NBEN_LNC036055)
Source: RNAcentral